GGGUGCCUGAGACUGUUUGUCUCAGGUAUUCACUAAAAGGCAGACAGAGAAAAGCCCCACCUGACUAUAAAUCAAAAGUGCACUGCACCCAUUAUUGAUCUCUUCAAUAACGAAGCGAUCUCCUGCUGUAUUUCAGAACGUCCAACCAUG
Molecule: non-coding RNA, 150 nt
Organism: Salmonella enterica subsp. enterica serovar Macclesfield
Lineage: Bacteria; Pseudomonadati; Pseudomonadota; Gammaproteobacteria; Enterobacterales; Enterobacteriaceae
Source: Rfam